This 440-nucleotide ribosomal RNA is filed under the name uncultured bacterium. RNAcentral describes it as "bacterial SSU rRNA". It matches the Rfam family "Bacterial small subunit ribosomal RNA", at positions 957 to 1391 of the family's 1533-position model. The record is from RNAcentral.
GAACGCGAAGAACCUUACCAAGUCUUGACAUACUGUGAGGACACAAGAGAUUGUGUUGUUCUGACCUUUGGUUAGACACAGAUACAGGUGGUGCAUGGUUGUCGUCAGCUCGUGUCGUGAGAUGUUGGGUUAAGUCCCGCAACGAGCGCAACCCCUAUGUCUAGUUGCCAGCAGUAAGAUGGGGACUCUAGACAGACUGCCAGUGAUAAACUGGAGGAAGGCGGGGAUGACGUCAAAUCAUCAUGCCCCUUAUGACUUGGGCUACACACGUGCUACAAUGGAUAGGAACAAAGAGAAGCUAACUCGCGAGAGCAAGCAAACCUCAUAAAACUAUUCUCAGUUCGGAUUGUAGUCUGCNACUCGACUACGUGAAGCUGGAAUCGCUAGUAAUCGCGAAUCAGAAUGUCGCGGUGAAUACGUUCCCGGGUCUUGUACACACC